This 492-nucleotide ribosomal RNA is filed under the name uncultured bacterium. RNAcentral describes it as "partial 16S ribosomal RNA". It matches the Rfam family "Bacterial small subunit ribosomal RNA", at positions 29 to 507 of the family's 1533-position model. The record is from RNAcentral.
AGUGAACGCUGGCGGUAGGCCUAACACAUGCGAGUCGAACGGCAGCACAGUAAGAGCUUGCUCUUACGGGUGGCGAGUGGCGGACGGGUGAUGAAUACAUCGGAAUCUACUUUUUCGUGGGGGAUAACGUAGGGAAACUUACGCUAAUACCGCAUACGACCUACGGGUGAAAGCAGGGGAUCUUCGGACCUUGCGCGAUUGAAUGAGCCGAUGUCGGAUUAGCUAGUUGGCGGGGUAAAGGCCCACCAAGGCGACGAUCCGUAGCUGGUCUGAGAGGAUGAUCAGCCACACUGGAACUGAGACACGGUCCAGACUCCUACGGGAGGCAGCAGUGGGGAAUAUUGGACAAUGGGCGCAAGCCUGAUCCAGCCAUACCGCGUGGGUGAAGAAGGCCUUCGGGUUGUAAAGCCCUUUUGUUGGGAAAGAAAAGCAGCAGGUUAAUACCCCGCUGUUCUGACGGUACCCAAAGAAUAAGCACCGGCUAACUUCGUG